This 72-nucleotide transfer RNA is filed under the name Bos taurus (domestic cattle). It matches the Rfam family "tRNA". From Rfam's summary of the family: Transfer RNA (tRNA) molecules are approximately 80 nucleotides in length. The record is from Rfam by way of RNAcentral. Lineage: Eukaryota; Metazoa; Chordata; Mammalia; Artiodactyla; Bovidae. RNAcentral also lists the same sequence under 4 other names.
UCCCUGAUGGCUCAGACGGUAAAGCAUCUGCCUGCAAUGCGGGAGACCCGGGUUCGAUCCCUGCGUAGGGAA